This 496-nucleotide ribosomal RNA is filed under the name uncultured bacterium. RNAcentral's name for it is "partial 16S ribosomal RNA". It matches the Rfam family "Bacterial small subunit ribosomal RNA", at positions 29 to 523 of the family's 1533-position model. The record is from RNAcentral.
AUUGAACGCUGGCGGCAUGCCUUACACAUGCAAGUCGAACGGUAGAGGGGGCAACCCCUUGAGAGUGGCGAACGGGUGAGUAAUGCAUCGGAACGUGCCCAGUCGUGGGGGAUAACGCAGCGAAAGCUGUGCUAAUACCGCAUACGAUCUCUGGAUGAAAGCGGGGGACCGAAAGGCCUCGCGCGAUUGGAGCGGCCGAUGUCAGAUUAGGUAGUUGGUGGGGUAAAGGCUCACCAAGCCAACGAUCUGUAGCUGGUCUGAGAGGACGACCAGCCACACGGGGACUGAGACACGGCCCAGACUCCUACGGGAGGCAGCAGUGGGGAAUUUUGGACAAUGGGCGCAAGCCUGAUCCAGCAAUGCCGCGUGCAGGAAGAAGGCCGUCGGGUUGUAAACUGCUUUUGUACGGAACGAAAAGGUCUGGCUUAAUACCCUGGGCACAUGACGGUACCGUAAGAAUAAGCACCGGCUAACUACGUGCCAGCCGCCGCCGUAA